RNAcentral lists this ribosomal RNA (470 nucleotides) under uncultured bacterium. Its description in RNAcentral is "bacterial SSU rRNA". It matches the Rfam family "Bacterial small subunit ribosomal RNA", at positions 33 to 507 of the family's 1533-position model. The record is from RNAcentral.
GACGACGCUGGCGGCGUGCUUAAUACAUGCAAGUCGAACGGAGCCUAGCUGGUGGUUUACUACCGGCGAAAGCUUAGUGGCGGACGGGUGAGUAACGCGUGGGUAAUCUACCCCUAAGUCCGGGAUAACAGAGCGAAAGUUCUGCUAAUACCGGAUACUCUUCCCGGGUCGCAUGGUCUGGGAAGGAAAGGUUUACUGCUUAGGGAUGAGCCCGCGUCCCAUUAGCUAGUUGGUGAGGUAACGGCUCACCAAGGCGACGAUGGGUAGCCGGCCUGAGAGGGUGGACGGCCGCACUGGGACUGAGACACGGCCCAGACUCCUACGGGAGGCAGCAGUAGGGAAUUUUCCGCAAUGGGCGAAAGCCUGACGGAGCAACGCCGCGUGAGGGAAGAAGGUCUUCGGAUCGUAAACCUUUGUCAUCGGGGACGAUCAUGACGGUACCCGAGGAGGAAGCCCCGGCUAACUACGUG